GACGAACGCUGGCGGCGUGCUUAACACAUGCAAGUCGAACGGGCCUUGUCCCCUUUUUUUUGGGGGUGGGGUUAGUGGCGAACGGGUGAGUAACACGUGAGUAACCUGCCCCUCACUUCUGGAUAACCGCUUGAAAGGGUGGCUAAUACGGGGUGUUCUGGCCUGCUCGCAUGGGUGGGUUUGGAAAGAUUCGACCGGUUUUGGUUGUUUUGGUGGGGGAUGGGCUCGCGGCCUAUCAGCUUGUUGGUGGGGUGAUGGCCUGCCAAGGCUUUGACGGGUAGCCGGCCUGAGAGGGUGGGCGGUCACACUGGGACUGAGACACGGCCCAGACUCCUACGGGAGGCAGCAGUGGGGAAUAUUGCACAAUGGGCGCAAGCCUGAUGCAGCGACGCCGCGUGAGGGAUGGAGGCCUUCGGGUUGUGAACCUCUUUCGCCAGUGAAGAAGGGCCUGCUCUUUGUGGUGGGGUUGACGGUAGCUGGGUUAAUGAAGCGCCGGCUAACUACGUG
RNAcentral lists this ribosomal RNA (507 nucleotides) under uncultured bacterium. RNAcentral's name for it is "partial 16S ribosomal RNA". It matches the Rfam family "Bacterial small subunit ribosomal RNA", at positions 28 to 507 of the family's 1533-position model. The record is from RNAcentral.